Long non-coding RNA from Anser brachyrhynchus (Pink-footed goose), 1801 nucleotides. Lineage: Eukaryota; Metazoa; Chordata; Aves; Anseriformes; Anatidae. The record is from Ensembl.
UUCUUUUUUAAUAAUGACAGGCUUUUACAUGUUCUGAAUGAAUAUUGACAUCUGUUUUGACAGUAUUUGUUCAGUGUUUUCAUAGUAAUUAUUUUUGAAAAAGGAAAAAACAGUUUGAAAUGCUACUCUAGGCUGAGUUCCAAUGAGGAUAAUUACAUGCUACCUCCUACUAAUCCCCUUCCAGCAUUGCUGCUUAUAAUAUUCCUUGGCUGUUGUCUUUAAACUAUCGCUCACUGCUGCUCAGCAGAAGCCACCCUUCCUUUCAGAGGUGGGUAUGAUUCAUCACUGAGUGACAAAGUCUUUGUGUAUUGUGGAAAUGAAGUUGUCCUGGAAUUUCAAAACUGCUCGCUUUCCGUCUAUAUCCCUUCAAUCAGAUCACAAAUGAUCUAGAGUAGGUCUGCUUUCAAAGUUGGGUUUUCAUUUUUCUAGAGGUGAGAAGAAACUGGAGUAUGCUCUUCAAGCUUUAUUGAAGCAGUCCAGAUAUUUCAUCCAUUAGCAGUGGCCACUUUAUGUAAUUUGAAGACCUGUGAGCCUGAUUUUCCCUGACUGUGCUGUCCAAGAAGCAAGAAGCAAGACCAACUGCUAAUACCUAACAACAUCACUGAAUGGAGACAGACAUCCUCAGCACAGCUGAAAAACCUUUUGGAAAGCACAACGCUGCCGAAGGGUCCUGAGGAAGGAUAUGACAAUGUUCUGCGAGAUGUGGAAUCUGGUAGACUGCCUGCUUCCAGUGACCUGGGGACCCUGUCAGGUACAGUGAUGAGUUCAGUUUUAUCAAGGUCCAUAGCAAACUUCAGGUAGAUAGAUUAAAAUCUUGGAUCGAAAGCUUUGUCCAUACUGGGAGUUAACUUUUCUGUGUUGUAGUGGGCAGCACAGAAAACUUUAGUUCUGGCUUUAUUUUCUAAUUGUCACUUAAUGUUGAAAUAUUACUAUUUUUCUUCUACACCUGAAAGAGAAGUUUAAUAUGCCAGGGAUGUAGCAUAUAUCUUUGCACUGUUCUUGCGCUCUACUUUUCAGGACAGUUGUCAUCAGCCUAGUCUCAUCCUCUUUCUAGCUGUAAAUCUAAAUGCACUGUAAUUUUAUUGUCAUGGUCUUACAUGCCUUCACUUCUAUUCUGCAGAAUUAGCCACAAGUUUAAAAGUCCCCAAAAACAUGAUAUUCACCUUAUUUCAAUGUAACAUUCUACUGCAUUUUUAUUAUUUUUACUUUUAAUUUUCAUUUGCAGCCCCAAGAGCUAAAACCCCUCACAUUUUAAGUGAAAUAGUUGAGGAUUUAUAAUGUAAAAGUUGUGGUCUCCUGUGCCUGCAGGAGGUGAGACUUUCUCAGAAGUACUAGAAAUUGCUAAAAUGUAGAAAAAUUGAGUUUAGUAAAGUUCUGGCUGGUUUUCUUUAGUAAGAUGAACUGUUAGGCAAUAUGUACAGGGUUGUUAAGCUGGAUGUAGGAGAGUUCAGUUUCAAAAGAGGCUAUAGGGUACAGCUGUGUGCUAACUGAUUAUUCAUUAAAAGCCAAUUCCAGUUUCACUGUUCUGACUGUCCUCAUGAGAGCUACAGGAGAAACAAAUGGGAGAAUACAUUUUUAAAAGCAGAUAUCUGCAACCUGACAUUGGGAAUACAGAUGGUUACACAUGCUGGGCAGUUUUGUUUGGUAUUGUGUUUUGCUUAUAAUUGCUUUGAAAGUGAGUUAAAGUAAAGCAAUGUUCUUUUGUUUCUGUUUUGUUUUUUUCUUUUUCACAGAUCAUAAUUUCUGCUAGUUUUAGCUUCUUCUCCCUGUAAUACCAUAGGCUUAUAGUCACCUCUCAGCU